RNAcentral lists this ribosomal RNA (323 nucleotides) under uncultured bacterium. RNAcentral's name for it is "SSU rRNA". It matches the Rfam family "Bacterial small subunit ribosomal RNA", at positions 8 to 359 of the family's 1533-position model. The record is from RNAcentral.
AGAGUUUGAUCCUGGCUCAGAACGAACGCUGGCGGCAGGCCUAACACAUGCAAGUCGAGCGAGGUAGCAAUACCUAGCGGCGGACGGGUGAGUAACGCGUGGGAACGUACCUUUUGCUACGGAAUAGCCCUGGGAAACUGGGAGUAAUACCGUAUACGCCCUGAGGGGGAAAGAUUUAUCGGCAAAAGAUCGGCCCGCGUUGGAUUAGGGAGUUGGUGGGGUAAUGGCCUACCAAGCCGACGAGCCAGAGCUGGUUUGAGAGGAUGAGCAGCCACACUGGGACUGAGACACGGCCCAGACGCCGACGGGAGGCAGCAGUGGGG